GGCGAUCAGAUACCGCCCUAGUUCUGACCGUAAACUAUGCCAACUAGCGAUCUGCCGGUGGAUUUUUAGCCCUGGUAGGAAGCUUCCCGGAAACGAAAGUCUUCCGGUUCCGGGGGAAGUAUGGUUGCAAAGCUGAAACUUAAAGGAAUUGACGGAAGGGCACCACCAGGAGUGGAGCCUGCGGCUUAAUUUGACUCAACACGGGGAAACUCACCCGGCCCGGACACCGUAAGGAUUGACAGAUUGAUAGCUCUUUCAUGAUUCGGUGGUUGGUGGUGCAUGGCCGUUCUUAGUUCGUGGAUCGAUUUGUCUGGUUUAUUCCGAUAACGAGCGAGACUCUAGCCUACUAAAUAGUAACGGAAUUACUUUUGUUCCAGUUGCUUCUUAGAGGGAUUUUCGGUGUUUAGCCGCACGAGAUUGAGCAAUAACAGGUCUGUGAUGCCCUUAGAUGUCCGGGGCUGCACGCGCGCUACACUGGCGAAAUCAGCGUGCUGUAUCCAUUCUCGAAAGGGAUUGGUAAACCCAUGAAAAUUUGCCGUGCUUGGGAUCGGAAAUUGCAAUUAUUUUCCGUGAACGAGGAAUUCCAAGUAAGUGCGAGUCAUCAACUCGCUCUGAUUACGUCCCUGCCCUUUGUA
RNAcentral lists this ribosomal RNA (635 nucleotides) under Acrobeles cephalatus. RNAcentral's name for it is "SSU rRNA". It matches the Rfam family "Eukaryotic small subunit ribosomal RNA", at positions 1003 to 1664 of the family's 1831-position model. Lineage: Eukaryota; Metazoa; Nematoda; Chromadorea; Rhabditida; Cephalobidae. The record is from RNAcentral.